CCUACGGGGGGCAGCAGUGGGGGAUAUUGCACAAUGGGGGAAACCCUGAUGCAGCGACGCCGCGUGUGGGAAGACGGUCCUCUGGAGUGUAAACCACUGUCCCCAGGGACGAAGAUGACGGGACCUGGGGAGGAAGCGCCGGCUAACUACGUGCCAGCAGCCGCGGUAAUACGUCGGGAGCGAGCGUUUUCCGGAAUUACUGGGUGUAAAGGGAGCGUAGGCGGGGAUGCAAGGUGGGUGUCAAAACUACCGGCUCAACUGGUAGUCGCACUCAAAACUGCAGCUCUUUAGUGAAGGAGAGGCCGGCGUACUUCCUCGUGUCGCGGUUAACUGCGUAGCUCUUAGGAG
Molecule: ribosomal RNA, 348 nt
Filed under: uncultured bacterium
Lineage: Bacteria
Description: partial 16S ribosomal RNA
Rfam family: Bacterial small subunit ribosomal RNA
Source: RNAcentral